ACACUCUAUUCUUUCUUUCACUAAGCUGCUGAAUUUUUUCUUUUUGCAGAAAAUCAACUAUGCACAGGAUUAAGUUGCAAUAGUGCCCUUGUGACUCAUGUCAAAAAUACACGAUCCUUAGGACAGUGUGAGGAGCUUACAAAACAGCAUCAUGGUAGUUCAUUGCCAUCCUGUGGAAAUGUGACGGAAAGAAAGAAACAUGCAGUACUUCAUAAGUCAAAAACUCAACCUAAUAUAAAGGAUUUUGAUAAAAAAUGUGGGUCAUUGAAUCUGCCUAAACAUGGUAUCAACAGGGGCAGCAACCCCAAUGAUACAAAUUUGCAGGAAGAUUCAAAUGACUUGUGUCACAUGAUUCCCUCACCUCUUAAAUAUAGCAGUGAAAGUAAGACAGAUUUUAAGAAGCUGCUGAAGCCUGAAGAAACACUUUAUGAUGCUGAUAUGGAGUUGACUGCCAGUGAUGCUGGUGAACUACUCACAGUUACAGCAAAAGACAAUUAUAAAUUGCACCAAAAUAAAAUUAGUAAUGCCAAUUCUGACAAAAUAUUAGCAAAGUUCAGAAAGGUAAAAUAUUCUAAGAAGGAUAAAGAAAAAAUCAAAAGCAAGACUGAAGUUGAUUCAAAUUUAUGUGCAGAAGAAAGGCACACUGCGGCUGACAAUAGUGAAACCUCAAAAACUGCUGACUCAGAAAUUCAGCUAUUCCAAAGUCAGACAGAACAGCUACCUACAGGAGAUUCUGCAGAGAAACAGAGUAAAACAAGUAAAGCUAAAGAUAGGAGGAGGAUGUACCAGGUUAAUGUAGUGAGUCCAAGAAAACAGGAAACAAAUGAAGAAACUUUCUCAGAAAUGUCUGGAGACAUGGAAAGCAAAAUUCAAAAGGCAAACUCAAGCUCGCCUCUUAACAAGAUCCCACCAGAAGUUUAUUGUACUGAAAAUUUGCCAUUCCAAGAUAAUACUUGUAAGGUGUUUCCUUUACAGGGUGACUUUCUAAAUACAAAUGAGAAAGAUAGCAGACCAACAAAAAAUAGGAAAACUUUUCAAAACCCUUCCAAAGCAAACACAGCAAAAUCCUGUGGAGGGGAAAAUGGCCAGGAUGAAGAAUAUAUUUCAAAAAAAUCUCAAACAGAGAUAUACCAACUUGACAGCAAGACAAAACAAACCCAUAAAAAUAUUAUAAAGAGAAAAGACAAUAAAAAAAGUAGUUACAGACAAAGUAGAGAAAGUGCAAAUGACAGCAUUCAUAAAAUUAAUCAGAAAGUAGACCAAAAGAGAAGCCCUUGUUCGCCAGGCAGAUUAAAACGUACAUUGGCAAAGGCUGGCCGGAAAACAUACAUUAUACCAAAGGGAAAGCUUACACUGUUCUCAGCUUGUAAAAAUCAAGAAUUAAAAAAUAAGGAUUCAUUGCAUGCAGAGGCUGGAAAUAAAGUACCAGAAACUCAGCAAACACAAGUAGCUUUAGUUACUCACGAUGGUGUAGCUCUGAAUACACCCCAAGCUAAAGAACAAGUUGAUGAUGAUGCUAACAUGUUAAAGAAAGCAGGUUUCUCAGCAGUGGCAACUAAACCCCUCCCCAUUAGUAGUUCUUCUGGUAAUCAGGUAAAGCAGAAACAGAGAUUUAGUUCUGAUAAUACUGAGACCAGACAAGAAAAAAGUUAUUUCAGGCCUAUUGAUCUGGGCAGGCAGAAUAUUUUGGAUGAUCAGGAAGUCCCUCAUGAAAUAGGUUCCUUUAUGAGUAAAUUAAAGCCUGUUAUUCAAGUUGAAUGUUCUAAGAAUAUGUCAUUAAAUGUAGAUAGCUUUUCCCAGGAAGGUCUUUCCAAUGUGGGGCUCCCAGCUCUCGAUAAUCAAAAUACUUCUGUCAACUUCUCCAUACUGAAAGACUCUGAAAUCCAUGGGGAAAAUGAUCAUAAUGAAGUACUGAAUGCUGAAAAAGCAGAACAAAAUCUGGACCAUAUUUCUAAAGAGAGUUACAAAAAUGCUCUGACACCUUGUCAUGGGAGAAAGGCUUUCCAAGAUCUGACAAAUACUGGUAUACAAUCUCACGCCUUUGUACCUAAAUCCCCCAAAACUUUAGAAGAAAACUCAGCAGCACCAUCCAGACGAGGAAGACCCGCUAUUUGCUACAAAGAACCCAAUCUACACAGCAAAUUAAGGCGUGGGGAUCGCUUUACAGACACGCAAUUUCUGUGUUCCCCAGUCCGUAAAGUAAAAAAUAAAACAAGUUUUAAAAGUAAAUCAAAAUUUAUUUGAAGAAGACAAAAGAAUUGCCUUUAUGAGCAAUACUUCUAAAAUGGGUACAAUUGUUUAUGUGUGUAUAUAUAUGUUUAGCAAUAUAGAGUGCUUAUUGUUCUUUGAUUAGUAAAGUUCUUCCAAAGUGAAAUUUUCUGAAAAAGAGCCUCUGAAAAAGGGCACAGAAUACUUCACUGAGGAAGGUAUAUACAUGUUAGGUUCCACUCAUGUUUUGCAUUUCUGGUCAGUAAUUUAUAAUUUAUUCAAAGUGUUUGCAGCACUUCUUAAAUUGUAAGAAAAGUGUAUGUUUUAAUGUAAAUUGAAAAUAAACUAGCUUUGGGAAUUUUAAUGUGAGUUUCU
This is a long non-coding RNA of Manacus vitellinus (golden-collared manakin), 2583 nucleotides long. The record is from Ensembl. Lineage: Eukaryota; Metazoa; Chordata; Aves; Passeriformes; Pipridae.